This is a long non-coding RNA of Carya illinoinensis, 7391 nucleotides long. RefSeq lists it as uncharacterized. NCBI's taxonomy places the organism in Eukaryota, Viridiplantae, Streptophyta, Magnoliopsida, Fagales, Juglandaceae. The transcript is spliced from 2 exons. The record is from RefSeq and is a predicted model, not a curated record.
AUGCCUUAAUAACCACAUUUAUUUCACAUGGACUGUCGGUUUCAGUCGUUUUGGGGACCCAGGAUCAAAGAGUGGGAACAAAUGUGGAAGCUGAAAAGAAAUGAUAGGCUGAAUUGAGCUACUCUUGCGGAAAUUGCUUGGAAUGUAUUGCCAACUCGUUUCGUGCUAGCUAAAAUGAUCACUGAGUUAGAAGAGUUCCAAGCUAUUGCCACCUAUGUAACUUAGCUCAUGAAAUAUUCGAACCUUAUUUUUCAUUCACUCUUUUGCGCGGAUUAUUUGGAGAGAAUCCUCUUGACCACUCAACAUCUCAAUUUGUUGCAGACCAUAUGUUUAAGCUGUAACUCCCGUGACCACGUGGAUAAUUUUUUUUCACUCUAUCUUUGUUUUCUUUGGUUUCCAUUUUCCCACGCCGUGACGCGUAUUUUUUUUCUUUGGAUCUCUUCUUUACGCCGUAUCACCCGCGGGAAUUCUUUUUCUCUCUCUUCUUCGUUUCUUCCCCCACAGUCCUCACCUACUCUCACCCACCCUCAUCCAAUCCCACCUACGCCCUCAGACUCGCUCGCCUUUCGUUCUCUUUAUUUUCUUCACGGAUCAGCUGCACUACACAACUCAGUCUCCGUUUUCAUCACACAAAAACAGAGUACCCCAAACCGAACGACAUCUCGACCACGACCGUAGCUCACUCGGAGAACCGCCGUGAAGCCAUCUACUGCUCAGUCGUCAGCCACCCUCACACACGGCAAUGUCACCACAAGCCGCCAGCCCGACGUCCGAUGACCCAUCUUCCUAAGCCGUCCAACACUGUAAAGCUAUCCCACCAUCAACGAAGGCCCUGUUUUCAAGCAUCGAAACAGAGGACUAGUCCCCCACCGUGAGCUCUCUGCCCGUCCGCCAUUCAACGCCAAUCGUGCCAUCCCAGGCCGCCGUGUGCCUCUCGGUGCCCAACGCCAGCUCCGUCUGAAGUGCUCAGCCGCACGGUGGUCUCUGUUUCGUUGAGUUUGUGCUGCCGCCGCCACUCUUUUGUUUUCCUCUUGGGUAAGCUGCCGCACAGCCCUCGCUCUAGCUUAAGGCCCGUUUGGGACUGCAGUAGAGUUUUAAAAUGUUUAAAGAGCUUUAAAAAUAUUUAAUAAAAAAAAUUAGAUUAUUUGAAUUUUACGUAUUAAAAUAUUUUUAGAGUAAAUAAGUUAAAAGUAUUUUAUUUUCUUGCAACGCAAGUAAUUUCCAAGCAAUGUGUCAUUCAACUGAUUCCGAGCAAGGACUAAAUUCUUACACAAUAUAUGAUCAAAUUGGGCAAGGCAUGAAUGUGCGGGAGAAAAUGUUGCUACAUUUUUUUUAUAUGAAAAAAUAUAAUCUUUAAAAUGCAUAUUAAUUAGAAAUAAUCAUUAAGAUUGAGAAUCAUUGAGAACCUUGGUUAUUUUGCCAAUCAAAUAAAAAAUAUUUUAGAACCUCAUGGACAAAAAUGUAGCCCAUCAAACACAAAUCUCAAGGACAAAGAGGUACUUUUACCCAUCAAACACAUUAGAAACUCAAAGACACAGGUAAUUUUGCUUACCAAACACAAACCUGAAGGACAAAAGAUAACUUUUGAAUCAAACACAAACUACUAACAAACCUCAAGGACAGAAAGGUAAUUUUUCAUCAAACACAAACUAUUAACAAAUGUAAGGGCAAAAGGGUAAUUUUUCUGCUAUUCACAUGUGGGUAGAUGCAUUUAUACAUAGAGUAGAUAUAUGACAACUAAGACAAUGCUAUAGGCUACUGCAAUAUAUAUAACUAGACAUGCAAUUGAUUCAGAGAUCACAAAGCUCAAGAGGCUGAACACAUAGGAUUGCAUAUCACAAGAUCAAGAAUGCCGCUAUCUAUCAUAGGAUACAAGAGGUUUAUACCACUGAACAAGAUCUGAGUUCAGAAUCCACAAUGAAAUUGUGCAAAUGGAGUCAAAUGCAUAAUCAUUUCAGUAUCUGCAUUCUGAAACAAUUACCACUCUUUAAUUUAGAACUCACAAGAACAGUUUUCAUAGAGAAGUACUCCUGUCAAGCUAUAGAAACUUAUGCCGUGAAAAUUUCUAUUAACAAACUUCGUUUCAAGGUACUCGACCCCACCCCUAAUAUUGAAGUCCUCCUGUCUAGAUAUAUAGACAUGUAAGAUGCCAAAAUUUCUAUCACUAGACUUUGUUUCAGGGAAUUUGGUCAGGCUACCAUUUUCAAUUCGGGGAGAGAGAGAGAGAGAGAGAGAGAGAGAGAGAGAGAGAGGGGGCGGGUUGGGAGUUUUGCCCGCAAAGAGGAGAACAAAUUCUAAUCAAAAUUAGCACAAGAAGCCAAACUAGUGUGAUGUAUUUGGAAAGCCAAACUUCAAAAGUAGAAUUCUGAUGAUGAAAUGUAGAAGUAUAUGGUUUAUACAGUGAAAGUAGACAGAUACCAGAGCGAGCGGAUGUAGGCAUAUCGCCGAGCGACAUUAUGUAACCCUACUUCGCCGCUCCCUCUUGUGAAUGUAGGCACAUCACCGAAUUACAUUUUUUCUCUUUUGAUUAUUUUGUACAAUUCAUAAGCAAUUACCGCAUGUUUCACAACAUGAAAGCAUAUAACAGUACCUUGGAAAUUAAGUGAAAGUCAUAGCAAUACUCGUGCUUACCACCUGCAUGGCAAAAAGCUAAUGAGAUCUUACACACUGAGAAACUUGUAAACUUGUUCCAAGUAUUAAUUAACAACAAGAUUCAUUCAUAAUGGACUGAUUCACUUGUCAUGCCCCCACCACCAACAUUUUUUUAUAGGUAAAAAGAAUUCUUUUUCGUUAGGCUAUUUAUGCAGGGAAUAUGGAUGGCAAACUAAGAUUGCAACAAUUAAACCUUCCUGCCUGGGAGUUAGAUAUAUUUUUAUACCGGAACGGCUAAAUAUAAGUAGUAGUAGCACAUUUGAAGUAUAAAUAAAAUAUAAAAGAAAAAGAAUUGUUAUUGACAAGCUUACCUCUAGUAUUAUCAACUUCUGCUGAUGUUCACCUAAGUACUCCUUAUAUUGCCAAGCAAUCCUCAAACCCUCCUACAAUUUGUGCAAACACAGAAAUCGAGAUUUUUUGGUCUCCCAAAUCAGAAACACAAAUAAACAAAUGAAGUAAAUGGAAGAAGCAGAGCACCUGUUCAGGAUCAUGACCAUGAGACUUAUCUUUAUCAUCUUUGCAAGACCUUGGACUAGGCAAAGUGCCCAGAAAUCCUUUUGGGUCUUUGGAUGGACUGGCAUACAGAAGGGGUUGCUUGUGAACAAGUCCUUGAGACAUAAAGCUCCUCAACAAAAGCAUGUGAUGAAGUGCUUCUGCAUCUUCCAUCACCAUGACUAGGCUUCCCAAAGCAAACCCACCGCCUAAAAUCUCUACAAAUAAGGCAAUAAAUAAAAAGAACUCCUGAGAUGCAGACUGCACAAGUAAUUGUUAAAGCCAUAAUGAUAUCAUUGUGUACGAUACUUCGAUCCUGAGAAAGUUAAUAAACGUAGAGAAUUACUGUCGAGGUCUGGUAUCCCAGAUGAGAUAAAGACCAUGCCAUUGGGACCACAUUAGACGAGGGUACGGCUGUGAGGUUGCGAGAGAAGCUGCUUGUUCGAGACUUGCUUGUAGCCGGACCAUAUUAUUAGAAUAUUAUUUUUUAAUAUUAUUAUUAUUUUGAGAUUCAAAAAAGUUGAAUUGUUUAUUAUAUUUUGUAUUAAAUGUUGAAAAAGUUAUAAUGAUUAAAUAAGAGAAGUUGAGGAACCAAAUGCAGUCUAAAACUCUACAACAUUUUGAAUGUGCAAAAUUAGAAAAGAAGUAAUUCAACAGCAAAGCUCACUGAUAGCUAUUGUUUUCAUUAGAGUAGUCAUCUCCGCAUUACCUUCAUUGGCCAUCCUUAUGUCAAGAAACUAAUCUAAAAAAAUUCAAUUUUCUAACUCCCCACACCCUAACUCUUUCUUGGGCUUUCCCUUUGGAUGGUAUUGUCGCGCCUCUUACCCAAGGAGGGAGUUCCUACGACUUAACAUCAGAUUUUCAACAAUACAGGUGCUGAAAACGUAGUUGCCGACCACUUGUCUCGGCUUACAUUUGCUGAAAAUGAGCACACUUUUCCAGUAUAGACUCCAACGAUAAAGGGAGAGGCUUUGUAACAUGUAAAACUCUUUUGUUCCAACAAAUAUAUGUUCCUCCCCAGAGACAUAAAUGAACUUCUCCAACAUAUAAAAUAAAAGAAAACUCUCCACAGAGACUCAGAUAAUGCAACAUUAUCUCAAAAUACUAUUCAAAAGUACAGUAACUAAUUUCCUAAAUAAAAUCCUUCAAUAGUCUCUUGUAUCCUUUGGCCAAAGUGAUUGCACUCAGAACAAAGGCCACUACUACAACCCAUGGAAGGGUUGGAGGCCAUUAUUAUUACCUGUGACAUGGUCGGAAGUCACUAUUAUUACCCAUAGUAGGCCAAAGGCCACCAGUAUAGCCUAUGGCAGUGCCUGUAAAUAAAGCACAACAGAAUCUUAUGCCUCAGGACUAUCUUAUGCAAUAUCAUAUCAUAACAAAGUACUGACCAAAUAAAUAUCAUGUAAUCAUAUAAAAAUUUCAAACUUCAUAUUCACAUUUUAUGUAGUAGAGAAACAGAGUACAAAAAUUGAUCAUAUUUACACCAGUCGUGAUAAAACAUCACGACUAAAUGUCAGAUACAAAGACUAGUGCCAAAAAUAAGCAAGACUGUUUUUAUAACAAAAUAUACUACUUCUUCACCAAAUUACCUGACUUUGUAAUAUGCAAUCUAAACUUUGAACUCCAACAGAACCAGUAUCACGACCCAAUCCAAAAAAUAUAUCAUAAAAGAUAUCUUACACAGGCCGAUACUGGAUAGUGAGAGCACUAACUAGAUCGCGUGAAAUACAGGACUCUGGACUGUUCAUUGGCUGAACUUUAAAGUUAGAAACUCUAAUUAUUUCCACGUUGAUUUGGACUGAUUCCACCACAUGAUACGCCAAAGACUUUUAGAAAAAGUGGAAGAAGACCUAAGUUACUAAAGUCGGAAGCUCUCAGUUUCCACAUUGACUUGAAUUAAUCUUACUCCGUAGAAACCUGCGAAAUGCUUAAUAUCCAAAUCUAUUUAACAUGGACUAUCGGUUUCAGUUUAGAAUAUUCAGAAAUUUUGGUUCAUUUUCUGUCAAAAUGCUUAAUAUCCAAAUUCAGGUUUUUGGGGCCUAGCUUGGAUCUAAGUGUCGGAACAGAUGUGGAAACUGGAAAGAAAUGAUAGACUGAAUUAAGUUACUCUUAUGGAAAUUGCUUGGAAUGUAUUCAAUUCAUGUUGUGCUAGCUAAAAUGAUCUCUAAGUUAGAAGAGUUCCAAGCUCAUUGCCACCUAUAUAAGACUGCUCAUGAAAUUUUCGAACACCUAUUUUUUAAUAGCACUUUUGCACGGAUUCUUUGGAGAUAAUCCUCUUGACAACUCAACAUCUCAUAAUUUGUUGCAAGGGGUAUGUAUCUAAGGAGUUGAUUAAAGUGAUUCUUAAUUCCUAGUGUUAGACGGGGGUUUGACAAAAACGAAAUUAUCCAUAGCUCUACUAGGUGAAUGGACAACUAUAGUGAUUCUUCAAGUAAUAAUUUCGCAUGUAAAUUAGUCUUGGAAAAAUCAAACAAUAGGGACCAGUGAGAUCAUGUUGGAAAAAUCAAGCGUCCCAGUCUUUGAAGACACGAAACAAUUUGCAGAAGUGCCGUAUGAAUUCCCAAAUGAACCGUCAAUCGAGGCCUGGUUCAGUCCUAACAGACUGAGCAACUUUGCUGGUUCUUUUUUGUGCCCAAGAUGAAAGCUUCUUGACAUAUUUAAGAGGUAAAAAAAAAUUUUGACAAGUAAAUAGUAUCCAAUUGCAUUCAAAGAGCAUGGAGUUGACAAUUAAACAGGUUUGGUCAAUCUUCUACUGCGAUGCCAGAUGAGAUGGACAAGUUACCUCUUAUUAUACAACUAAAAACUUUACAGGUAAUUUUGAGCUCAAUUGCUUUUAAGUUCUGUCAUACAAUUAUUCUUGGUAUAAAUCUUGAAAAAUGGUUCAUCAUUUGACAACUUCAAAUGGCAACUUUGGUUGCCUUGAAUUUGAUUGUUAGUGAGAUACUUUGUUUGGCUAUUUGGCUUUUUAUUUAUUGUUUUUUCACAUUGACUUUUUGUUAGUUGAAGUCUCUAGAGUCAGAAAUUAGAUGCAUUUUCGAAUGCACACCAUGUCAGAAACUUUUGUUAUUUGAGCUUGUCAUCUUAGUGAAUUGAAGGGGAUACUUUUCGUACAUACUUUCCAAUAUCACUUGAAGGGUAGCAUAUCUACUGGAAAAAUCCCCUUCAUCAAGUAAAGGUACUUUCCACCUGGACUCUUUCUUUUGUAAUUAUUUCCUGAGUUGCCAAAUAUAAGUUAUUUUCUUAUUUUCAUCUUUUUAUAAUUACUGAGAAGUUAUUUGCUUGGUUAGCUUGCAAUAAACAUCUGUCUGUAGUUUGUGCUAUGGAUUUAAAUUACAACUCUUUCAACUUUCAUCAAAGAAAGUUAAUGAUUUUUAUGGGAUUGACCUCUUUUCCUAUUGAGUUCAUAUGCUCAGUUAUAUUAUUGACUACUCUUAAUUCCAUCUGCUUUGGUAGAUUUUUUUGAAUCGGAAUUGCAUAUAAAAACAUUACUUAUAUAUAUUACACGCAACAACGACAUUACUUAUGUGUGUGUGUGUGUAUAUAUAUAUAUAUAUAUAUUACACGCAACAAAAACAUUGAUUAUGUAAAAAAUUUCCAUCAGCAUUUAGAAAUCCAUAUUCUAUUGAAUUUUCUAUGAUUUAGAAGAAGGUCUACAUGAACGGUCUAGGAUUCUGAGCUUUGUAGAGAUAGAAAUGAAUGGUUUCAAAGGAAACAGAGUAUUAGGUAAUGAAAUACCCUUCAUAAAUUAAAAUGGAAUUAUCCUUUUAAAGUGUGUUACCCCUGUUGUAUGAAUUUGCUUAGAGAACCAGCAGCUGUAGCAUCUUGAAGAGUGAAACGAUCAACAGUAUACAUAAGGGUGGGCAGCCAAAAUGAGCAGCAGUGUAUCAUAAAAGCUAGAGAGAAAAACGGUAUACAAAUGAAUAGAAACGGCAAGUUGACAUAUCUGAUAUAUCUGACAUUAAAUUGUUUCUUAAGUUUGAUUUUAACAGUUCCUAUUUGCAUUUUUCAGUUGACUUGCUUGUUAGGUUUGGUUGCUGAUAUAUUGGUUUAUGCACUCUACUUGUCUCUUAAGGCCUAUAAUUUUCUUCAUUUUAGAAUCAAACCAUAUCGGAGUCAUGCUUUUCAUGAUGAACUUUGGUUGCUGUUUGUAGGCAUGCACAAUGAUUUUGCAGACUAUCUUACAAACUUGUGCUUUGAAAAAAAUUGUUCAGUGUUAUAUCAACUAAGCUGGAAAUGUUUGUUGUUCA